Molecule: ribosomal RNA, 253 nt
Filed under: uncultured bacterium
Lineage: Bacteria
Description: partial 16S ribosomal RNA
Rfam family: Bacterial small subunit ribosomal RNA
Source: RNAcentral
GACGAACCGUCCAAACGUUAUUCGGAAUCACUGGGCUUACAGAGUUCGUAGGCGGUCUGGAAAGUAGGGUGUGAAAGCCCUCGGCUCAACCGAGGAAUUGCGCUCUAAACUGCUGUGCUUGAGGAACCUAGAGGUGAGCAGAACUGAUGGUGGAGCGGUGAAAUGCGUUGAUAUCAUCAGGAAUACCGGAGGCGAAGGCGGCUCACUGGGGGUUUUCUGACGCUGAGGAACGAAAGCCAGGGGAGCGAACGGG